RNAcentral lists this ribosomal RNA (378 nucleotides) under uncultured bacterium. RNAcentral describes it as "bacterial SSU rRNA". It matches the Rfam family "Bacterial small subunit ribosomal RNA", at positions 28 to 407 of the family's 1533-position model. The record is from RNAcentral.
GACGAACGCUGGCGGCGUGCUUAACACAUGCAAGUCGAGCGGUAAGGCCCUUUCGGGGGUACACGAGCGGCGAACGGGUGAGUAACACGUGGGUGACCUGCCCUUAGCUCUGGGAUAAGCCUGGGAAACUGGGUCUAAUACCGGAUAUGACUCCAUAACGCAUGUUGUGGGGUGGAAAGCCUUGUGCGGCCAGGGAUGGGCCCGCGGCCUAUCAGCUUGUUGGUGGGGUGAUGGCCUACCAAGGCGACGACGGGUAGCCGGCCUGAGAGGGCGACCGGCCACACUGGGACUGAGACACGGCCCAGACUCCUACGGGAGGCAGCAGUGGGGAAUCUUGCGCAAUGGGCGAAAGCCUGACGCAGCGACGCCGCGUGGGGA